This 550-nucleotide ribosomal RNA is filed under the name Colletotrichum kahawae. RNAcentral's name for it is "eukaryotic LSU rRNA". The stretch from base 176 to 329 matches the Rfam family "5.8S ribosomal RNA". Lineage: Eukaryota; Fungi; Ascomycota; Sordariomycetes; Glomerellales; Glomerellaceae. The record is from RNAcentral.
GCCCUUUUUGUGAACAUACCUACAACUGUUGCUUCGGCGGGUAGGCCGUCCCCUGAAAAGGACGCCUCCCGGCCCGGACCGGACCCCCCGCGGGACCGGACCCGGCGCCCGCCGGAGGAUAACCAAACUCUAUUGUAACGACGUUUCUUCUGAGUGGCAUAAGCAAAAUAAUCAAAACUUUUAACAACGGAUCUCUUGGUUCUGGCAUCGAUGAAGAACGCAGCGAAAUGCGAUAAGUAAUGUGAAUUGCAGAAUUCAGUGAAUCAUCGAAUCUUUGAACGCACAUUGCGCCCGCCAGCAUUCUGGCGGGCAUGCCUGUUCGAGCGUCAUUUCAACCCUCAAGCUCUGCUUGGUGUUGGGGCUCUACGGUCGACGUAGGCCCUCAAAGGUAGUGGCGGACCCUCCCGGAGCCUCCUUUGCGUAGUAACAUUUCGUCUCGCACUGGGAUCCGGAGGGACUCUUGCCGUAAAACCCCCCAAUUUUCCAAAGGUUGACCUCGGAUCAGGUAGGAAUACCCGCUGAACUUAAGCAUAUCAAUAAGGCGGAGGAA